Molecule: ribosomal RNA, 211 nt
Filed under: uncultured bacterium
Lineage: Bacteria
Description: partial 16S ribosomal RNA
Rfam family: Bacterial small subunit ribosomal RNA
Source: RNAcentral
AAUGAACGCUGGCGGCGCGCCUAAUACAUGCAAGUCGAGCGAGAGGGACGUAGCAAUACGUUUGUAAAGCGGCGAACGGGUGAGGAAUACAUGGGUAACCUACCCUCGAGUGGGGAAUAACUAGCCGAAGGUUAGCUAAUACCGCGUACGCUUCUUGGACUUCGGUUCAGGAGGAAAGCGAUAGCCGAGGGUAUCGCGCUCUUGGAUGGGC